CCUACGGGCGGCAGCAGUGAGGAAUAUUGGUCAAUGGGCGAGAGCCUGAACCAGCCAAGUCGCGUGAGGGAGUACUGCCCUAUGGGUUGUAAACCUCUUUUGUCGGGGAGCAAAAGCCGGACGUGUCCGGCUGUGAGAGUACCCGAAGAAAAAGCAUCGGCUAACUCCGUGCCAGCAGCCGCGGUAAAACGGAGGAUGCGAGCGUUAUCCGGAUUUAUUGGGUUUAAAGGGUGCGCAGGCGGGUUUUUAAGUCAGCGGUAAAAUCGUGGGGCUCAACCCCAUCCAGCCGUUGAAACUGGGGAUCUAGAGUGUGCGAGAGGUAUGCGGAAUGCGUGGUGUAGCGGUGAAAUGCAUAGAUAUCACGCAGAACCCCGAUUGCGAAGGCAGCAUACCGGUGCACAACUGACGCUCAGGCACGAAAGCGUGGGUAUCGAACAGGAUUAGAUACCCUUGUAGUC
This 458-nucleotide ribosomal RNA is filed under the name uncultured bacterium. RNAcentral's name for it is "partial 16S ribosomal RNA". It matches the Rfam family "Bacterial small subunit ribosomal RNA", at positions 338 to 795 of the family's 1533-position model. The record is from RNAcentral.